Molecule: unclassified non-coding RNA, 250 nt
Filed under: plant metagenome
Description: partial contains small subunit ribosomal RNA, internal transcribed spacer 1, and 5.8S ribosomal RNA
Source: RNAcentral
GUAGGUGAACCUGCGGAGGGAUCAUUCACAUGAUAUACUUUUAAACAAACCGUGAACUCUAUAUACCAUUCGUGUUGAUUGUUUAAUUACUUUGGUAGUUUUCAAUCGAACACCGUCAUUCGUUGAACAUUAGAUAGUUGGCUCGUUAUGUUUAUACAUAACCUUCUCAGCUGAUUUGUUGUAUAGACUAAACAUCUAUCAUCAAUCACCAAAACAUAGAAACAGCUCUAUGCCCUGGAUAUCUUGGUUC